GACGAACGCUGGCGGCGUGCUUAACACAUGCAAGUCGAACGGAAAGGUCCUGCUUGCAGGGUGCUCGAGUGGCGAACGGGUGAGUAACACGUGGGUGAUCUGCCCCUUACUUUGGGAUAAGCCUGGGAAACUGGGUCUAAUACUGGAUAGGACCAUGCUGUAGGUGGUGUGGUGGAAAGAUUAGUUUCGGUUAGGGAUGAGCUCGCGGCCUAUCAGCUUGUUGGUGGGGUAAUGGCCUACCAAGGCGUCGACGGGUAGCCGGCCUGAGAGGGUGGACGGCCACAUUGGGACUGAGACACGGCCCAGACACCUACAGGAGGCAGCAGUGGGGAAUAUUGCACAAUGGGCACAAGCCUGAUGCAGCGACGCCGCGUGGGGGAUGACGGCCUUCGGGUUGUAAACUCCUUUCAGCCAUGACGAAGCCCUUGUGGUGACGGUAGUGGUAGAAGAAGCACCGGCUAACUACGUG
Molecule: ribosomal RNA, 469 nt
Filed under: uncultured bacterium
Lineage: Bacteria
Description: partial 16S ribosomal RNA
Rfam family: Bacterial small subunit ribosomal RNA
Source: RNAcentral